RNAcentral lists this long non-coding RNA (661 nucleotides) under Mytilus galloprovincialis (Mediterranean mussel). The record is from RNAcentral. Lineage: Eukaryota; Metazoa; Mollusca; Bivalvia; Mytilida; Mytilidae.
UGUUUCUGAAUAAACAAUUAAUGUAAUUCUUACUAAACUAUAUAAAACAUUUAACCAAAAGCUAUGUACAAUGUGCCAGAUAAAUAUAACUGACAAACACAAAUAAAACAUGAAUGCAAGGCCAAGAGCACCCCCUUUUCUAUGCACUGGCCGUUUGAAUGAAUAAUUGCCAUGAGAAAAUGUUUAUAAAGUAUGUGCAUGAAGAAUUGAAUGUUACGCAUAAUAAUAUGAAUAAUUGAACACUAUAAGACACCUUGAAUAGUCGAAUGAAUGAAGAACACAUCAUUUUCUGUUUUGUCGAAAUAAACGCUACUUCUAUAAGGGGAGUAACUCUGCAGUGAUAUGAACAAUGACCCAAAAAUAAAAGAACUUAAAGUACUAAAAGAAAACCAUAACUAACUAUAUACAAAAUUGCUUCUAAAUGCUUAAACGAACUAAAAUAGUUAAAUGCCUGAAAAUGUCGCAUCGUUUAAUUAUCUAAAGGAAUAUAGAUUGAAUGGAAUUGAAUAAAGCAUAUCGAAACACGCACAUUAACAUAAAACGUAUUGAAACACGCAUAUUAAAAAUAACAAAACUAUUUACAAAAACGAAUUGAAUACUUAUUCUGAACUCUUAAAACUAUAGAAAAUACUUGAAUUAAAAGAAUAUACUCUUGUAACUA